AUAAGCACGCACGGUAAGCUGCCGUCCCAAUCUUGCCAUUUUCUGUUCUCAGCGCAUCCUCGCCGCCGCCGCUCUUCCAUGGCCCGACCUGCAUCGGCGCCGCCCCUACCAUCCCUCUCUCCACAACCUCUUUUCUCCCCGCAGGUCGCUCCCCACCACCGCUUUUUUUUUUCCGUGGAAGAAUCCCGUUUCCAUGUAUUUUUCCACAUUGGAUCUGUGGGAACGACGAUGAUUGCGCCGGCGUGUCGGGACAGGAGGACCAGUGGAGCAUCUUCAUCGACAUGCUCGUGCUGGAGCCCGCCAUCACCGGCUUCUCCGGCCGCAACCUGGAAUCGCUGCAAGGGGCACGGGAGAUACUCUCCAAGGUGAGGCUGCUGCUCAAGGUGUAGCUCCGGAACCUGGUCUCCCUCCUCAGCUGAUACGCCUCCUCUGCUGCCGGGGCCGGAGCCGGGCACAAGAUGCUCGUAUACCCGCACAAGAUGCUCGUAUACCCGUACUUUUCAAACGGCAGCCUUGGAGACUUCCUCUUCGGCGAGUCACCUCCAUUCCAACCUCGAGUUCUCCAUUAUCUGCAAUAGAAAUACUUCUGAAUUUAGGGCCAGACUUAAACACAAUUCGCCUAAUGUUAGAGUUCAUGUGGUUUUUUUUUGGUUUCGCUGUCAGGAUUCAUACGAUUUGUAAGGCAGCAGUAUAAUUAUCCGCCACUCCGGUCAACGGUGUAAUGGUAGUUUGGUCGUCUCCUGUGCUUGUGCCAUAAAAAUAAUACUCCCUGAAUACUGCAGUAUAUACUAUGGUGAAUGAGAAGCUAGCUAGCUUGUGCACUCGAUCCCUGUUAGAUACUGCAGUGUAUACUUCUUGCUUACAUUACAGUCUGUAUAAACGAUGCUGACAUUACAGUCGGAAUAAAUCCCACUUUUAAAUUCUGUCUAAUUGUACAACUUGUAGAGAAUGCAAUUCAGUGUAAUUGUACAACCUGUUGAGAAUUCUGCGUAAAAUACCCAUUCAUGUACUUUGAAAUUAACUUCAAUCUGGAGUAGUAGUGUAGUGAAGAUGAUCUCUGAAUUCACUUUAAUCAACCAGAUGCUCCUCUAGCUUAGUACUCCAUGGGCUUAUUGUCAUCUUUCUAGUAUUGGAGUGUGCCUUCUUGACGUGAACGAGCUUGGAGGCAAUCUGGGGGUGAACGAGCUCUCCCAGUAAUCCUCUUCAAUGCUUGAUUCCCACCGCUUCAAUGUUUGAUGGAACGUGUCUGUUGAUUUUUCCUUCAUGUCGUGCUCACUGGGAAAAUCCGAAUGAGAUUAUGUUUGUUUGAUGUGUUGUUUUUGGGAAAACCCGAACCUGAGCAUGUGACCCUUUUAUGUCUCCAUCUAGCAUCUGCCCCAUUUUAUUUUCAGUUUUCAUGUCUGUGUAAUACGCUGAGUGGUUCAGCUCAGUUUUAUGUAUAAAGGCUUUCAAAAUCUGUGUCGUGUACAUGAGCAAGAACGGCUGAUCAUGGACAUGAGAAGAACUUUCUAACCAGUCUCUGCCUCCAUAGUUAGGUGUACUCAAGGGCCUCCACAUGAUGGACCUAGCAAAUACCUACUCGAAGGGAGCCUCCUGACGGAGCUCGCCGGGCACGAGAGCCUAACGCUGCUCGACCUCUGGAGCCUCACCGGAGGGCUAUCGGGCUGGUCUGGAGCAUCCCAUGGAGAGUCCAUGACGUUGAUGCCCAGGCUGCGGUUCAACCACAACCGCCUCUCUGGUGCCGUUCUGGCCAAGAUCCUCUUGAUGCCGAGCAUCGGGGCAUCUACAUGUUGUAGUUUCUCCCUCAUGCGCAUGAUCUUUUUUCUCUUCAUGAUGUUUCCACCAUAGAUGCUACCUGUACUACUCAGUAGACAAAUUCGCAUGUCUGUUCCAAUUCAUGACCACAACUUCUACUUGUUAUUUUCAUAUCCCCACAUUCUUAUGCAGACAGAAUUUAUAGCACUAGUUUCUUAUUGCUCUUUUCUAAUUUGUUUGAUGUCACAUGCACCAUGUCGCGGAAAGUGACCACGGUUAGUUUCACAGAAAGUGACCACGGUUAGUUUCGUGGAAAGUGACCCCUUCCCCUUUUCUCAAAUCUCGAUUUUUUACCAUGUUUCUGAUCUCGAUUACUUGCUGAUAUUUUUUGCAUCGUGUUUCCAGGUCCCAUGGUCAUUCAAAUUAAUAGUAGAAUUUUAGAGUAUGGUCAUGGAAUUUUCUUAUUGAUAUUUUGAUAGCGGUCAUGAUCCAACCCCAAUUAGCAUUUUGGAAUCAUUAUUUGGCAGCGUUAAUGUCAGUUUUUGUUUGGUUUAGUAAGGACGCAGUGGAGACCAUGAACAAUCAUAGCGCAGUGAAGAUUGGUUGUUUCUCUGGGUUUUGUGAGUGAUAGUGGUUUCACAGACAAUAGGAUUGUUUCUGUUGCUCACGAUUCACCUCAAUUAUUCACUGGUAGAUGCUAGGCAACAUAUUGAUUUUCCCUUCAUAUCGUGCUGAAUGGAAAAAUCCGAAUUGGAUUUGUUUGUUUGACGUGUUGUUUUGGGGAAAAGCUAGAAUGAGAGUCUGCUGUUGCUCCAGCUCCAACAAUUUUGGAUCCAAAUGUGAUGUAAUCCCUUUCUCUCACUUGACUGAGUUUUGCUUUUUUGGAGACUAAUAUUUUUUUGGAUCAGCUGACAAUCUUUUACUGAAGCUAAUGUAUCUGGUACUGAAGCUAAUGGAGUCAUUAAUGUAAAAAUUUGCACAACCAAAACAAUCAGUCAGACAUGGUGCCCGCCUGGUUCUGGACAAUGAUGGCUUUCACCGUGCUUGCUUCCCUGUACCUGUGUGGUGGACAAUUGUUGGUCGCUGUGCAUACCAUGGCCUCAUACACCUGCACCAUCCUGCUCAUCUACUAUGUGCGCCGCAUGGAGUUCGCUUCACCGGCGUCAAGGCCAGCGAUGGCAGUAGCCGUGGUGGUUCUCCUAUUGUGGACAUGGGAUUGAAUUAUAUGCCAAAUGCCUGACCGACAAUGCUGCUAGGGAUAGCAGCUGGUACUAUCUUCACGAUCGCUACUCCAAGCACGAGUUUUAUGACUGAGAACGAGGAGGCCUCCGUAGUUGGAGAACCUUGAUGUAACUUGGAUAGGGUUCUGGAACAAAUUAAUGUAUCUUGUUAAGCAAUGAUUGAUUACUGUCUUAUGGGUGCACGCUUCCAUGUAAAUCGUUCUAUGUUAUGAAAUCAGUUUGUUUUUUCA
Lolium perenne is the source of this 3226-nucleotide long non-coding RNA. RefSeq lists it as uncharacterized. NCBI's taxonomy places the organism in Eukaryota, Viridiplantae, Streptophyta, Magnoliopsida, Poales, Poaceae. The record is from RefSeq and is a predicted model, not a curated record.